Molecule: ribosomal RNA, 775 nt
Filed under: uncultured Neocallimastigales
Lineage: Eukaryota; Fungi; Neocallimastigomycota; Neocallimastigomycetes; Neocallimastigales
Description: partial large subunit ribosomal RNA
Rfam family: Eukaryotic large subunit ribosomal RNA
Source: RNAcentral
AGAGAGAGACAUGCGCGCAUAUCAAUAAGCGGAGGAAAAGAAACUAACUAGGAUUCCCUCAGUAACGGCGAGUGAAGCGGGAAGAGCUCAAAUUUGAAAUCUUCAAGGUUCUACCUUGACGAAUUGUAGUUUAAAGAAGUGUUUUCUGUUGGAGUUUUGGUAAAAGUUCUUUGGAAUAGGACAUCAUAGAGGGUGAGAAUCCCGUAUUUGACCAUUAUUUCCAGCUUUGUGAUACACUUUCAAAGAGUCGGAUUGUUUGGGAAUGCAGUCCAAAAUGGGUGGUAAAUUUCAUCUAAAGCUAAAUACUGGCGAGAGACCGAUAGCGAACAAGUACCGUGAGGGAAAGAUGAAAAGAACUUUGAAAAGAGAGUUAAACAGUACGUGAAAUUGUCAAAAGGGAAGCGUUUGACACCAGUGUUGUUUUCUCGAAAAUCAAUUAAAAAGAGUUAGAUUUUGUUGUGUAUUGACCUUAACAGCUUGCAUUUCAAUUUUCUUGCUUUUUUUAAUGCACUUUUCGUUUAACAAGUCAACAUCAGUUUCUUUUGUUGUAAAAAGGUCAUUGGAAGGUGGCUUUCUUUUCGGAGAAAGUGUUUAUAGCCUUUGGCCUCUGCAAUCGGAGAGAUUGAGGUCUGCAGCGUAGAUCCUUCGGGGUUAGAUACAUUUGUGCUAAGUUAUAGCCUUUCCAUAGACAACUUGUUGACUAUGAUCAGUCAUGUAGCUUACUCGCUUAUGCUAUUUUACCUACGCUUAGGAUGUUGAUGUGAUACUGCGAGCA